AUGAGGUAAAACAAGAGAUGGAGAGAUGUAAAAAUGACCCUCUUUUUUCCUAAAGUGGGACUGACAGAAAGUCAAUAUAAUGACUUUGACUCUUUUUUUUCUUGUUUCUUCAUCUGCAGAGACUGGGGAGAUCAUAGAAUCAUGGAACUAUGAAGAUUGGAAGAGACCUUUGAAAUCAGAUAAAAGAAGGAAAAGGAUAAUCCAGGCUUCAAACCUCUUUGCUGAUUUUUGCAUAAUUUGAGAUUAUUUGGGUUAAAUAAUUUAAUCUCUUCUACCACCAGAUAAAUUGAAAAUAGCCAGAAGGAAUGGAAACAACUGAAAAUGUGUACAACACUGAAGAUAUGAGAAAUACUUGUGACUUCUGUACUGGCAUCGAGGAAACAAGGAGAAGGCAGAAGUGUGUAGAGAAUGAGAGUCCUUCCAGAAUCAUACAAAAGCACUGUGCGUACAAAAGCAGACACUGAGAUGAAGGUUUACAUUUACAGGCUUUUGUCCUGUCUGGCACACCAUCUUGUGGAGCACCAGUGAGAUGCAAAUGAUUGUUUCUGCUCAGUUUAAUCUCCCAUCCUAGCUAUGGAAAAGUUAAAAUUAAUUUUGUUUCCUCCUCCUUCAUUUGAUGGCUACUUGGGUAUUUUUUCUGAAGGUCAAACCUUUCCUUGUAUCUAUUGUAAAGAAUCAGUGUAACUCCAUCCUCACUUCUGUUAGCACCACAGCUGGUUUCUGAGUCCUUUGAUUUUGUAUUUUCUUGGACUCACUUCUUUGCCCAGCACUCUUCAGGAAGGACAGUGCUGACCAUGCUGUGUGUGAUCAAUUUCCAUCUUCCAAAGUCUUUUUCAAGCAGCUAUUUUGGCCUAAGUUUCUACGCAUCAAUAAAGUAUCUUUUUUAUCUUUUGUCUCAACCUAUUCUUUUGUCCUGAUUCAUGUAGCAUUUAUUCAGGAUAUAGAGCAUUUCAUAUUGCAUUUCUUAAUUGAAUUGUACAUUUAUGUUACUAAAUAGUAAAAAAGGCAUAAAGGAUACAUAUUUCAUUCUUGUUUUGGAAAAUGAAUGCAAAAAGACAGAUGGAUGCUGGUUUUCCAAGGCCUGGAAGGACUGGAGACAAGCUCCACAAUCUGCCAUGCAUCAAGAAGAGAUCCAAGAGAAGGGAGACCUUCCUCCCUCCAGAGAGAUGUGGCACUAUGGUUCUCCAGUAGACUGUCCUAAAGAAGGCACUGCUAACACCUACCCAGCCUGACCCAGAUAAUUUAAACCAACAUUUUCUUCCACUCUUAACUGCCUUCUCUGCUUAAAAGUACCUAGUCCAAAGCUGCUGAGCUAACAUUGAGAGGAGGAGGUUUCAAAGCAACCCACUCUGUGCCAGUGUCAUGCAACAUUUUGGAUCUCUGAGCUGUCCAGGUUAGGGCUUCCCAGUCUCAGUCCAGCGGCUGAGCUGCAGCCUUUGGUUUCUGGAAAACCACAGCAAAACCAACCACAGACCCAGGAGGGACGUGAUGAAUCUGCAAGUGUAUUGAUUUUAUUUUAUGGGUUAUCACAGCAGAUGUUUUCAAGUUAACAUUUUCACCACAAAUAUUCAUUUUAAUGUAACUCAGUUGCUCUUUGGUAAUUCAAAAGAUGAUCAGUCACUUGACAGGACAAAGCACUGAAGCAGUGAGUAAAUAAAGGAGACAGGUUCUGCUGCUGCCACAUUACCUCUGUUUUGUCACACUGCAUGUGUCACCAGGGAGCAAGGAUUACUUUAAUUACCAACUGCUUUAAUAUCAAAUAGUUAUUAUGGAAAAUAGCAGGUCAUGUUCAUUUAUUUUUUCAGCAUGACAAGGGGAUGACUUUUAAUACUUGGUAGUGGCUUGAGGAGACUAAUGGAGAGGGAGGCAGGAGUGGAAGGAAAGCACAUAUCCACAAAUUGCAGUUUCAGAGGGGUUGCUGUCAUUCAAAAGAAAGUAUGAAAUGGCUUUCAAACUUCUGGGUUAUCUCGCUCAGUCUAUCAGAAUUUCUACUCUGAUAAUGAGCUGCCCUGAAAUGUUCACUGUCUUACAUUUCAGCAGCUUAUAAUUGAUGAAGUUGGCAGGAAAAGUUUAUUCCUUUGACUUCUGCUUUUCCAAAAGCUACUGUAAACUUUCAAAUGUCUCUGAUAAAUUAACAUGGAAAGCAAAUGGUCGCCUAGCUCAGUCCCUUGGAAACACCAUGGAGAGGUAUAACUAGACAUAUUUAGUUGUUUUUAACUUUAAUCACAUAUUUGUGAUUAAAGUAUUUUUGAAACUUCUGAGUUUGAUACCCCUUGUGGACAAGAUAUUGAGCUUAGAUGAGUUUAAAAGGGGAGAAUAAGCGCUGUGGUACUACGCUGUGUUGCAUGCCUCUCUGCCCCUCCACCCCAGUGUCUGUCUUUAAGGGCCAAGGGAAGGUCUAAACUCAGGUAGUUUUUUGUACCUUUGCUUUGCCUGUGAAACUUCCUGCCAAGGACUCUCUGAUCAUUGCUGUCAAAGCUAAACACUAUUUGUUCCAUCUCCACCAUACAGAAAAACAAAAUAAAACUCAGUUUUGAC
This is a long non-coding RNA of Taeniopygia guttata (zebra finch), 2538 nucleotides long. RefSeq lists it as uncharacterized. The record is from RefSeq and is a predicted model, not a curated record. Lineage: Eukaryota; Metazoa; Chordata; Aves; Passeriformes; Estrildidae.